CUGGUUGACUUGAAGACGGUGGUGUCUCUUUUACCGUGUUUGAUCUGAUAGGAUGGUUGUCCAUCAUGUAAUCAUAAGCAACCUCUUCAUAAAUGUGAUACUCAGGAAGGGAAUGAAUACCAAGCAUACAUUUUGCCAUUUCGCUUAUUUUACUCUUUGACGUUGGAUCCAACAUGGCAUCUGGGUUAUCCGUUGGCAUACCAUUUCUUGUUGGCCUCUGUUUUUGGUAUUUCCCAUUUGGAUGAUUUAAAGAUACCUGACUACCAGAAUGAUUGAGAUUUUUAUUAUGGCUCAUUUGAUCAGAUGGAUGAUGGUUAUUGGUAUUUUCUGUGUAACUCGUAAAAGUUUCACUGGCGUGCUCUGUGAUAAUAAAUAAAAGAGAAUUAAGGGAAAAAAAGAAGAGAUAAGUAUCGGUAACUUCAGCCUUUUUUUAUUAUUUUAAUAUAUCUCCCUCUCAAUCCCGUUAACUUGCUAAAUGGAUUGAUGGAUAUGUUUCAUUGAAAGGCUUAAUCAAAUAACCGGAUUUCCAUGCUGUUGUCUCACCAUGUUUCUCAUCUUUAACCUCAUCUAAAGAUUCUAGUCUAUUACUACAUUCCAAUCUCAUUUUAUUGACCAUAACUUACAUUCACCGUCCAAAAGUCUUUAUGGCCAUUUCGUGAUAAUAAUGGAAACAACAACAUUCAACUUGAAGAAACCAACUUCCCUACCGGUUUCUUGUGGAUUCCCUUCAUGCAACUCAUUAUCCUUUCCUAAUCUAAAACAAUUUACAGUUUUUCUUGUUCUCCUGUUUUCAUGAUAAAUUGUGAUAGACAGAAGCUGAUAGCUGAAUAAUGUAAGUAUGAAUUUGCCUACUAUUGAACUACCUGUUUUCAUGUGAAUCGUGAAAAAUUAACAGCAUCACUCAUAUUUACUCUCUUUCCUUCUUUCAAAUAUACCUGCAUGUUGUUCAAGCUGAACUUUAUUCAGUUUUAAUCUGUUUACUUGUUUUCGGUUCAAGUCAGAUUUUAUUGAUUAUAAUUUUUAUAAUAAAAACAAACACAUUUUUGACAUUGUCUUGUAAAAAAGAAGGUAAAUGAUUAACUAAAUCAAUUAUGAUGUUCAUUAUUGCAAAAGUCUUUUCACCCAAGACCCAUCUCUUAAUUUUAUAUCCAAAAUUAUUAGCCCCAGGGUCAUCUAACCUGACUUCAAUUAUCUUCCUAAUGGAAUGUUGACCUUAAUCUUGUUCAGCAGGUUAUUGUCAAUUAUUAAAAUUGUAAAGUUAUUAAAUAAUCUAUGAUUUAAACUAUAGAAUGGUAAGAUUUGUCAAUCGAUCAGCUGGUUAGAAGAAAAGGCUUAACAAAAAUUGUCUCUUUUAUCAAAGUGUUGAAUCUUUUGCCAUGAUACUAUGAUUCAGAUUCAAAAGGUUUGAAUUUACACUUUCAAGUGGACGGUUUUGCUGAAAAGGUUCGAUAUUUUUCUUCAAUCAUCUUAACAUACGGAAUGUCCAAUGGAUCAUCUUGAACUUGUUUAUACAAAUCAUUUGGCUCUUUGAGUGUCGACAAGGAGGUAAAAUCAGGAUCAUUUGAUGUGAUUUGGGUUGUUGGCAAAGCAAUUGGUUCAUUGAAACGUUUCCCAUAGAGAAGUGAAUCAAUCUCAUUCUCUAAAGAUUGAGCAGCAUUGAACAUUCCCGAUUCAA
Molecule: non-coding RNA, 1675 nt
Organism: Tetranychus urticae (two-spotted spider mite)
Lineage: Eukaryota; Metazoa; Arthropoda; Arachnida; Trombidiformes; Tetranychidae
Source: RefSeq, a predicted model, not a curated record